CAGUCGCCACGGGAAUACAGAGGGUGCGAGCGUUAAUCGGAUUUACUGGGCGUAAAGCGUGCGUAGGCGGCUUUUUAAGUCGGAUGUGAAAUCCCUGAGCUUAACUUAGGAAUUGCAUUCGAUACUGGGAAGCUAGAGUAUGGGAGAGGAUGGUAGAAUUCCAGGUGUAGCGGUGAAAUGCGUAGAGAUCUGGAGGAAUACCGGUGGCGAAGGCGGCCCCCUGGACAAAGACUGACGCUCAGGUGCGAAAGCGUGGGGAGCAAACGGGAUUAGAUACCCGCGUAGUCCCUGUCUCUUAUAA
RNAcentral lists this ribosomal RNA (301 nucleotides) under uncultured bacterium. Its description in RNAcentral is "partial 16S ribosomal RNA". It matches the Rfam family "Bacterial small subunit ribosomal RNA", at positions 509 to 809 of the family's 1533-position model. The record is from RNAcentral.